GGCACAUGGGGCUGCAUGUGGUCUCAGUGCUGUUUAUUACCAUGAUAUCAUCAGUGGUAACUACAACAAGUCUACAACCCCGAGAAGUGGCAGCUCCGGGCAGUGACUUCACCCUUAACUGCUCUUUCCCUUCGUCUAAAAAUCUGAACCUCAACCAACUGGUCAUCAACUGGCAGCGUGGAGAAGAGGUGGUCCACAGCUAUUACCAUGGAAGAGAUCAGCUGGAAAGACAGAGUGUUGUUUACAAGGGACGCACUCAUCUGUUUGAAGACCAGCUCACUGUGGGAAAUGCCUCACUUAGACUGAGUGGUGUGCAGCCGAGUGACCAGGGCCAAUACACCUGUGACGUGACAGAUGAACAGGGAGGCACCCUGGAAAAGCUACAACUUCUAGUGGCAGCCCCUUAUGAUGAACCCAGGAUAUCCGCCCAAGCCACUUGUGAUGGCUUCAUUAUCACCCUCCAUGCCUCUCAGGGGUAUCCCCAGCCAGAGUUAGUGUGGAAAGGGGUGAUGGACAGUAACACCACUAUGGAAUUGGACAGCAGGGGGCACUAUGAGCUGAAGAGUGAGGUGACACUGUGGUUGAACAGCACUCUGACUGUUACAGCCGAGCUUAGACUGAGGGUUCUGGACCAGAGUUUCACCAAGUCUCUCACACUCCACCCACCACCAGUUUUUACCUAGUCCAUUGGGAUGUGAUGAAUGAUGAUACCAUACUUGCACAAUGGCCUUUGACCAUGGGCUUCAAACAGUAUGUGUCUCUCUGAAUAUAUUUUGUGCUGUGUGAUGCCUGCCGAGAAGAGGAGCAGAUUUUUUACGUAUCCCCUGCUGCUUAUGCUGCUGGGAGUAGUGCUCCUGUUGUCUUGGAAGAGGUCUGAGCAGGAGACCAAAAAGGAUGAGAAAACACAAGAAUAGAAUGACCUUCAGUCCAUGGUCACUCAACAGGCAUCAUGCCAGAGCAAUUAUCAUUGCUUGUUUACAGAGAAAACAUAAAGGGAGGACAGCCUUGUUUACUAAAGUCCAUUUUCAUGGGAAGUCAUUUGGUCAAAUCUGAAUUACACUAUAAAACUUUAUACACAAAGUUCAACAUGAGAGUUGACACACUGUAUUGUCAAACAAUACAGUUGACACAUUCACUAAAGAUAGACAAUGGGAGUUGCACACCACACCACUAGAUGGUCAUAUGUACCUCUACUCCUAAUCUACUUCCUCUUAAGGUUUCUUCCAUGUAGCGAGUUUUUGCUUACUGCUACUUGCUCAGGGAUUUAGCCCAGGUUACUGUGUAAAUCACCUUUUACAUCUGCAGAUGUCUUACUGGGCUUUAUAAAUUACAUGUAUAUAUUGAUUGAAAUUAUGGCAGCUAUAGCGUCUAAUGAAAGUUGUUACAUGUGUGUUCCAGUCAGUGUAUCAUAAUUUCCAGAAUUUGUUAUUUUGUAAUAAAAGGAGAUGAAACCCCAA
Oncorhynchus kisutch (coho salmon) is the source of this 1457-nucleotide RNA transcript. It is a transcript of the gene named CD276 antigen-like, with no coding region annotated. The transcript has 6 exons. The record is from RefSeq and is a predicted model, not a curated record. Lineage: Eukaryota; Metazoa; Chordata; Actinopteri; Salmoniformes; Salmonidae.